RNAcentral lists this ribosomal RNA (660 nucleotides) under Triticum aestivum (bread wheat). RNAcentral's name for it is "partial small subunit ribosomal RNA". The record is from RNAcentral. Lineage: Eukaryota; Viridiplantae; Streptophyta; Magnoliopsida; Poales; Poaceae.
AUGGCAUGCCUUGCUCCGCCAGCGUCCUUCGCUCCCUUUUGCAGGGGCCCCUUUGCAUCUCCGGCCAACUUGUAUCGGCCGCCCGCCUCCAUCGCCUCCUUGUCUCCUUCGUCUCCCCCUUUCUACCCCAGCCGUGUCAUGGUUAGGUGGGAAGCUCCCCCGGCGGGCUGGCUGAAGCUAAACUUCGACGGGUCUGUGUACAACGACGGGUCCGGCCGGGCUAGCAUCGGCGGCGCCAUCCGCGACUGCAACGGCCGCGUUCUUGUCGCCUUUGCCGAGCCGACGGAGCACUCGACCGUGGGCAUAGUGGAGGCCAGGGCGCUCAUCCGCGGGCUGCGCCCCGCGCUGAGUCGCUUCCGCGGCAGGCUGGUGGCGGAAGGAGACGACCUGAUGCUGGUGGAGCUCCUCACCGGCGAGGAGACGCAGACGCGCGUACCUCAGGCCAUGCAAGACGAGAUUCUCAUGCUGCUUGGGUGCUUCGCGGCGUACAAGGUCCAGCACAUCUUCCGCGAGGGCAAUCAGGUCGCCCACGUCCUGUGCAAGGAGGCGUAUCAGCGUCCGGGGGUGUGGGCGGGCGGGAUCGUGUCGCACGCCGUCUGGGAGAAGGCCCAAGACGAUGUGCACGGCGUGGCGCACGAGCGGCUCUUCAAGAAGAAGUAG